UGCAGCCUUGGGAUAAAGCUGAUUUUGAGGCAGAUAGCAGAGAGAAGAAUAAAAUCAACUGUCCUGCUUCUAGAGUCUGCUCUACCUCCAAACUUGUAAUUAUUUUGUGAAAUAAUGCAUCUCCUAAUUUUUCAGGCCUGCUUGAUUUGGGUUUCCUGGUUCUCAGUGUUUAAAGUAUUUAAAAUGACACAUACUUCAAUUUAGCUCUACUGAUGUUUAGUAUUUUCAUUUAUCUCAGGCUCUCCUGUUGUCCCUUUUAUAAGGUCAAGUGUUGACAAACUAUUAAACUACAGGAAACACAAAAGCCUUAGAGAAAUGGGACUCAACAUGCAGGUUGGGACAACUCAGGGCCCCUCCACUGUGCACAGCAUUUGUCUGCUUUCAAGGUUCCCCACAGCAUCUGAAGCUUUACAUCCCUGGAGGUGACUGCCCAUAUGUUCACCUUUAUUACCAACCUGCAGUUUCCAGGCAUCUGUUAAUUACAAUUUUCAGUCUCAA
Molecule: long non-coding RNA, 498 nt
Filed under: Lynx pardinus (Iberian lynx)
Lineage: Eukaryota; Metazoa; Chordata; Mammalia; Carnivora; Felidae
Source: RNAcentral